GUGGCAUUACGGGGGCUGAGGUGGUCGACAAGGCAGUAGGAAAAGCGGCCACCAUAGACAUCAGUGGCACGGUUGGCAAAGGAAAUGUUGCUGUAGCCAAGUCCGAGGACACCGUCAGAGGUCUUGAAGCUGGGACCGGAGAAUGCGGAGCUACAGCCUACGACGAGGUCUCGGAGUUUGGUUUUCCGGCCGUCGGCAAGGUUGACUGUGGCCCAUUCCUUGGCGUAGAAACCUUGCGCCGUUGAGCCGUCGGAGUACCCGUAAUCGUAGGCGCAGGGGCUCGCCGGCGACGGGCACGUCGUCAGCGAGAACGGCAGCACCGUCCUGCACAUCUCCGACGAGCACCGGAUCGGCCGGAACGUCCUCGACGCCGC
RNAcentral lists this unclassified non-coding RNA (374 nucleotides) under Hevea brasiliensis (rubber tree). The record is from RNAcentral. Lineage: Eukaryota; Viridiplantae; Streptophyta; Magnoliopsida; Malpighiales; Euphorbiaceae.